Long non-coding RNA from Poecilia latipinna (sailfin molly), 1521 nucleotides. RefSeq lists it as uncharacterized. NCBI's taxonomy places the organism in Eukaryota, Metazoa, Chordata, Actinopteri, Cyprinodontiformes, Poeciliidae. The record is from RefSeq and is a predicted model, not a curated record. The transcript is spliced from 2 exons.
AAUUCCUCCAGGUUCUGGAGGUUUUAUGUUUUUAACUUAAUUAGAAAGAGGUAAACUGAUAUGAAGCCAAGUUCAUCAGAUAAAAGGAAGGCGGACCUUUCAACCUGUGUCUGUUAUGAAUCAUCCUGGUUUGCAAAUGUUAGCAGAGUUAAGGUAGGAGUUUACAAUCUGAAGGGAAAACAUCUGCAGUAUCCAGAUGCAAAAGAUGGUAAAAUUUCAGCUCUAAAUUAUUCUACCUUUGUUUUAAAAUAGCAGUAAAAGCCUGGCUUCCUGGAUUCACUCUGUCUGAAUUAAAGAGUGACGACACUGCUGGUUAUGAUAUAGCUACUUCAUAACAACUUACUGCUGCAGGGCUAGAAAAUAAUAUUUUGAAUGCUUUUAUUUACAGAUCGUGUGAUAUCAAGAGUUUGCUAGAAUUGGUAUCAGAAGGACAGACUUUAAAAAAAAUCAAGAGAUUGAAAAUGGUUCAGAAAACUCACAUCAGUGCUUCUCCAUUCCAGUCAGUCGACUCAAACAAAAGGCACAAAGUAACCGAGUUUAAUCACAUUUUCCACAUCCAACUGCUACGCUUUCAUUCACACUGAAUCAUACAAAAAAGUAGCGUCUCUCAUGGGUCUCUCAUAGAGAUCUUGGAUAAGAAAUGAACCAGAGAGAAAAGAAAAAAAAGUGGGGCAAAAGGAGGGAUGAUAAGACAGAGAAAAGAACGAAAAAAGCUGCCACUGAAAUAGACAAACAUGACUGACUUUGGUAGUUUUCUUUCCGAGACGGAAUGGAUGACUAAUAUUUGAGAAAGGGGGACUCAAAACAUAACAAACCCGGGGAAGAAUUUGCCUGGAAAUGUUGAGAAAAAAAAUCAAAUAACAAAAACGUGAGUUUAAGUGACAAACAAACAAACAAAAAAAUUGAAUUGAUGUAAUUAAAUGCUGACUUCCUGGGAUAAAAGGUAGAAUCUGGUUCAAAGUCUCCCUGCUGUCUGAAUUUACCCCAGAAAACUGACGAUCCAGACGACACACAAACACACACACCCAUGAAAUCAGUGUUUUCUGCGAGCGGGGGUUGCCUGGGUGGGGCAGAAUCAUCCCCACCCGAUGUUCUGCUUCAUUACUGAGGCUGACUUCAUGGUGAAGAUGAAGUCACCACUGAUACAAAGGAGGCUGGAAAGGAAGAAGUUCUCCACGUACACGCGUCAGCGGGGCGUGACGGGAAUCUUCAAGCAGAUACCGACUGGAAGCGAGCCUCAACAGGACCGCAGGUCGAGGCCGCUUUUCCGUGAUGGCCUGACUGCUGGGUCAGCUGAGAGAGAGGGAGAAUCAAAGCUCUGGUGGCAAGAGUUUAGAUUUAUGGCCCACCCUCAGUGGAGAUUGGACCAAUCACACAUCCCAAGAAGAGUUGUACUUGACUCACCCUGUGGUUACAAAAAGUGACAAAAUGGAGCUGUAAUAUGUUAAACAAAAGCUAAAAAUGAGAGACGUCACACUGCUUAAAUAAAUGGUGGUCUACAAAUAAAAGCAGUAAAACCAA